AGUUGGAUGCUGAAACUUGCAGUCACACAAGGACUUGAACCUAGAGCUUUUCUAAAGCCCGUACUCUUUCCAGUACCCUGAGCCAGGGGAGCCAGCGGGCAGAAAUGACGUGUGAGGUACCCUCUUUCCCUUCACUUCCAUGUGAUCUGUUACUCAUUUUGUCAAGACAUCCUGGGUCCCAGGUGCCAGGUGCUACACAAGAUACUGGCUAUAGCAGCGAACAGGACAGCCCGUCUCAUCCUCAUGGAGGUCACAGGACAAUGAGAAGAAAGACUUUUUUAUUUUUAUUUUUUUGAGACGGAGUUUUGCUCUUGUUGCCGAGGCUGGAGUGCAGUGGUGUGAUCUCGACUCACUGCAACCUCCGCCUCCCAAGUUCAAGCAAUUAUCCUGCCUCAGGCCUCUUGAGUAGCUGGGAUUACAGGCACCUGCCACCACUCCUGGCUAAUUUUUUGUAUUUUUAGUAGAGACAGGGGUUUCAUCAUGUUGGCCAGGCUGGUCUCGAACUCCUGACCUCAGGUGAUCCACCCACCUCGGCCUCCCAAAGUGCAGGGAUUACAGGCAUGAGCCAUCGAACCCGGCCCAAGAAGAAAGACAUUGAACAAGUAAUUACAGGGUAUUGGGUGUUAUGAAAGAAAAGCAUGGUACUGUAUAAUGAGGUCAUCUAAUUUAGUCUGGGGUGACAAGGAAUGCCUACUAAAGAAGGUAUCGUUUAAGACAUACCUGGGGAAUAGCGGUAGUGAAAAUAGAAGCUCCAGAAAUGCAGGGACCAUGGCUGACAUGUUUACCAUGCCAGUGUCUGGCAUGGAAGAGGCCCAAUUCCUUUGGUUGAAAGGAUGAAGUAAUCUAGCUGAAUAAAGGGUGUGUGCGUGCACGCAGGUGUGUUUGUAGUUAACCUUCCUUUAGCUCAGCUUAGGAAACAGCUUUUGUAAAACUGCGUAACUAGUAGUAGGUGAGAGAGGAAUACGAAUGAUAUACACACCAUUAAAGACAACUUACUAACAGCAUGA
RNAcentral lists this small RNA (1007 nucleotides) under Homo sapiens (human). RNAcentral describes it as "HLA complex group 20 (ENSG00000238216.5)". Lineage: Eukaryota; Metazoa; Chordata; Mammalia; Primates; Hominidae. The record is from RNAcentral.